RNAcentral lists this ribosomal RNA (840 nucleotides) under uncultured bacterium. RNAcentral's name for it is "bacterial SSU rRNA". It matches the Rfam family "Bacterial small subunit ribosomal RNA", at positions 56 to 944 of the family's 1533-position model. The record is from RNAcentral.
UGCAAGUCGAACGAAGUAGCAAUACUUAGUGGCAGACGGGUGAGUAACAUGUAGGUAUCUUCCCUAUGGUGAGGAAUAACACGAGGAAACUUGUGCUAAUACCUCAUAAGUCUUUACAGAGAAAGCUUUAUGCGCCAUUGGAUGAGCCUGCACUUGAUUAGUUUGUUGGUGGGGUAAUGGCCUACCAAGACAAUGAUCAAUAGCUGAUUUGAGAGGAUGAUCAGCCACAUUGGGACUGAGACACGGCCCAAACUCCUACGGGAGGCAGCAGUAGGGAAUCUUGCACAAUGGGGGAAACCCUGAUGCAGCGAUGCCACGUGAGUGAAGAAGGCCUUUGGGUUGUAAAGCUCUUUCGUCGGGGAAGAAAAUGACUGUACCCGAAUAAGAAGGUCCGGCUAACUUCGUGCCAGCAGCCGCGGUAAUACGAAGGGACCUAGCGUAGUUCGGAAUUACUGGGCUUAAAGAGUUCGUAGGUGGUUAAAAAAGUUGGUGGUGAAAUCCCAGAGCUUAACUCUGGAACUGCCAUCAAAACUUUUUAGCUAGAGUAUGAUAGAGGAAAGCAGAAUUUCUAGUGUAGAGGUGAAAUUCGUAGAUAUUAGAAAGAAUACCAAUUGCGAAGGCAGCUUUCUGGAUCAUUACUGACACUGAGGAACGAAAGCAUGGGUAGCGAAGAGGAUUAGAUACCCUCGUAGUCCAUGCCGUAAACGAUGUGUGUUAGACGUUGGAAAUUUAUUUUCAGUGUCGCAGCGAAAGCAAUAAACACACCGCCUGGGGAGUACGACCGCANGGUUAAAACUCAAAUGAAUUGANNGGNACCCGCACAAGUAGUGGAGCAUGUGG